AUGUUUAGAGAUGAGGGGGAGACUCCACCCAAAGUGGGGUAUGAAUACCACCACAUAUCACUGAGUUCCCUGCUUAGCAGGAAGGAUGUCAUGUUUAGAGAUGAGGAGGAGACUCCACCCAAAGUGGGGUAUGAAUACCACCACAUAUCACUUAGUUCCCUGCUUAGCAGGAAGGAUGUCAUGUUUAGAGAUGAGGAGGAGACUCCACCCAAAGUGGGGUAUGAAUACCACCACAUAUCACUUAGUUCCCUGCUUAGCAGGAAGGAUGUCAUGUUUAGAGAUGAGGGGGAGACUCAACCCAAAGUGGGGUAUGAAUACCACCACAUAUCACUUAGUUCCCUGCUUAGCAGGAAGGAUGUCAUGUUUAGAGAUGAGGAGGAGACUCCACCCAAAGUGGGGUAUGAAUACCACCACAUAUCACUGAGUUCCCUGCUUAGCAGGAAGGAUGUCAUGUUUAGAGAUGAGGAGGAGACUCCACCCAAAGUGGGGUAUGAAUACCACCACAUAUCACUUAGUUCCCUGCUUAGCAGGAAGGAUGUCAUGUUUAGAGAUGAGGGUGAGACUCAAACCAAAGUGGGGUAUGAAUACCACCACAUAUCACUUAGUUCCCUGCUUAGCAGGAAGGAUGUCAUGUUUAGAGAUGGGGAGGAGACUCCACCCAAAGUGGGGUAUGAAUACCACCACAUAUCACUUAGUUCCCUGCUUAGCAGGAAGGAUGUCAUGUUUAGAGAUGAGGAGGAGACUCCACCCAAAGUGGGGUAUGAAUACCACCACAUAUCACUUAGUUCCCUGCUUAGCAGGAAGGAUGUCAUGUUUAGAGAUGGGGAGGAGACUCCACCCAAAGUGGGGUAUGAAUACCACCACAUAUCACUUAGUUCCCUGCUUAGCAGGAAGGAUGUCAUGUUUAGAGAUGAGGAGGAGACUCCACCCAAAGUGGGGUAUGAAUACCACCACGGGGGCAUCCAUUUCUUUUGUCUGAAUAUACAGCUGUGUCGAACACUUUGGGGAGAAUUAAACUUGGUUAGGCUUCUCUAG
RNAcentral lists this long non-coding RNA (1035 nucleotides) under Oncorhynchus kisutch (coho salmon). RNAcentral's name for it is "lncRNA (ENSOKIG00005047998.1)". The record is from RNAcentral. Lineage: Eukaryota; Metazoa; Chordata; Actinopteri; Salmoniformes; Salmonidae.